CACCGCCCGUCACAUCACGAAAGUGGGCUGUACUAGAAGUGGCCGCGCUAACCAGCAAUGGGGGCAGGUUACCACGGUAUGGUCCAUGAUUGGGGUG
Molecule: ribosomal RNA, 97 nt
Filed under: uncultured bacterium
Lineage: Bacteria
Description: partial 16S ribosomal RNA
Rfam family: Bacterial small subunit ribosomal RNA
Source: RNAcentral